GACCGCGUAGCUCAGUUGGAAGAGCACUUGGCUAGUAUUCCAAAGGUCGUAGGUUCGAAUCCCACCGUGGCCG
RNAcentral lists this transfer RNA (73 nucleotides) under Paramuricea clavata. It matches the Rfam family "tRNA". Rfam says of the family: Transfer RNA (tRNA) molecules are approximately 80 nucleotides in length. Their secondary structure includes four short double-helical elements and three loops (D, anti-codon, and T loops). Further hydrogen bonds mediate the characteristic L-shaped molecular structure. tRNAs have two regions of fundamental functional importance: the anti-codon, which is responsible for specific mRNA codon recognition, and the 3' end, to which the tRNAs corresponding amino acid is attached (by aminoacyl-tRNA synthetases). tRNAs cope with the degeneracy of the genetic code in two manners: having more than one tRNA (with a specific anti-codon) for a particular amino acid; and 'wobble' base-pairing, i.e. permitting non-standard base-pairing at the 3rd anti-codon position. Lineage: Eukaryota; Metazoa; Cnidaria; Anthozoa; Malacalcyonacea; Plexauridae. The record is from Rfam by way of RNAcentral.